RNAcentral lists this long non-coding RNA (1029 nucleotides) under Nothobranchius furzeri (turquoise killifish). RNAcentral's name for it is "lncRNA (ENSNFUG00015004415.1)". Lineage: Eukaryota; Metazoa; Chordata; Actinopteri; Cyprinodontiformes; Nothobranchiidae. The record is from RNAcentral.
AUGGCCUCACCAAACUCCUCCCACGCCCGAGAUUUUGCCUCGGCAUCUGCCACUGCUGCAUCCCGAUUGGCUAUACCCAUCUGCUGCCUUCGGAGACCCACAGACCAGCCACACCCUGUAGGGCUCCUUCUUCAGCCUGACGGCUCCCUGAACCUCUGGUGUCCACCAGCGGGUACUGAGGUUGCAACCACGACUGGCACCGGCCACCUUGCGACCACAGCUAGCAACAGCCACCUCAAAAAUCACAGAGUGGAACAAGGCCAACUCGGAGUCAAUGUCCCCCACUGCUCUCGGGACGCGGUCAAAGCUCUGCCAGAGGUGGGAGUUGAAGACCGUCUUGACAGCUUCUUCUGCCAAGCGUUCCCAGCAGACCCUCACUAUGCGUUUGGGUCUGCCAGGUCUACGCGGCAUCUUCCCCUGCCAUCUGAUCCAACCAGGCGUCUUGGGGCUAACACAAAGCCAGCCCCAGCCCUCCGCCUCUCACCCAGAGCAACUCCAGCAAAGGAGAGUGUCCAACCCCUCUCAAGGACUUGGGUUCCAGAGCCAAUUCUAUGUGUCGAGGUGAGUCUUACUAUAUCUAGCCGGUACCGCUCAACCUCUGCCACAAGCUCCUUCCCCACCAGCGAGGUGACAUUCCAUGUCCCUAUAACCAGUUUCCUUGUCCGAGGAUCGGACCGCCAAGGCUCCCGCCCCAGUCUGCCACCCGAUCCACACUGCACCGAACCCUUCAUGUUCCUCCUGCGGGUGGUGGGUCCACAGUUGGAUGAGCCCAUGUAUCCGGUUCGGGCUGGGCCCGGGCGGGCGCCAUAUGCAAAAGCCCGGCCACUAUGUGCUCGCUCACAGGCCCCAACCCCAGGACCGGCUCCAGGGUUGGACCCCGGUAACCCUCUGGGCCGGGUACUCCGACUCUUUGUUUUAACGUCCAUGAAAGAUCUGGCUGUCAAAUCUAAAAAAAAAAGUGAGCACUGUGCAUUCUACAUACAGUUAAAUCGACUCAUUUUCAAUGUGCCCAAUUUUCUACUUGAAUAA